Molecule: long non-coding RNA, 792 nt
Organism: Bos taurus (domestic cattle)
Lineage: Eukaryota; Metazoa; Chordata; Mammalia; Artiodactyla; Bovidae
Source: Ensembl
AUCUUGUCCCACUGCCACGGGGAGUUUAUUUUUGCUCAAGGGCAGCUGCCAAACCCAGCACCAGCAUCAAUAGAAGGAUGCUGGCAAGAAAGAUGGAGCCUUCCACCAGUCUUGACCAACCCCAGGGAUACAGCCUCUGCCAGCAUCCUGAGAAGCGAACUCGGGUGCUGAACAAUUCAGCAUGUGUGUGGAACAUCUACUGUGCUUGAAUGAACCAUCAUUUGGAGCCGAAGCUAAGUUGAGAAUACAAGACCCUCUGACAGCCACUUAAGGGAACAACCAUCAUUUCCAGAUUGGCAUAAUCUUUCACUCUGAUAUCUCUUGGAGAAUCUAAAUUGUCUUUGUAGAUAGUCCAUAAAGCUGUUUUUCAGACUCAGUCUGUAAGAGAUGCCGGAGGCAGCCUCUCCCCCCCACCAAAGACACUGCAAGUCCCUGGGACGGUGCAGCAGCAAAUCGCCAACAUCACCACUUGUUGAAGCCACCGUUUUAGACCCAACCUAAUAGCUCCUUUGUGCUAUACCAUGAGGAACCUGGUUCUAGUGUGAGGCCACAGCUGAUAUUUAUCUCGUGUCUUCAGUGUGCAGUUUUAUAUUAAGAGGAUGAGGUUGGUGGGUUCUCUGGUUACUAUCAUACAUGUAUUAUUUGUGAAACCAAAGGGAAAGUGAAGUUGCUCAGUCGUGUCCGACUCUUUGCGACCCCAUGGACUAUAGCCUACCAGGCUCCUCCAUCCAUGGAAUUUUCCAGGCAAGAAUACUGGAGUGGGUUGCCAUCUCCUUCUCCAGGGGAUCUUCC